UACGGGGGGAGCAAGCGUUGUUCGGAUUUACUGGGCGUAAAGGGCGCGUAGGCGGCGUGACAAGUCACUUGUGAAAUCUCCGGGCUUAACCCGGAGCGGUCAAGUGAUACUGUCGUGCUAGAGUGCGGAAGGGGCUACUGGAAUUCUCGGUGUAGCGGUGAAAUGCGUAGAUAUCGAGAGGAACACCUGCGGCGAAGGCGGGUAGCUGGGCCGACACUGACGCUGAGGAGCGAAAGCGUGGGGAGAGAACAGG
This 253-nucleotide ribosomal RNA is filed under the name uncultured bacterium. RNAcentral describes it as "partial 16S ribosomal RNA". It matches the Rfam family "Bacterial small subunit ribosomal RNA", at positions 524 to 776 of the family's 1533-position model. The record is from RNAcentral.